UACGGAGGGUGCGAGCGUUGUCCGGAAUCACUGGGCGUAAAGGGCGCGUAGGUGGCCUGUGGAAGUCUGCGGUGAAAGCCCGGCGCUCAACGCCGGGUCGGCCGUGGAUACUCUCGGGCUCGAGCUUACUAGAGGCAGAUGGAAUUCCGGGUGUAGCGGUGGAAUGCGUAGAGAUCCGGAAGAACACCGGUGGCGAAGGCGGGUAGCUGGGCCGACACUGACGCUGAGGCGCGAAAGCCAGGGGAGCGAACGGG
This 254-nucleotide ribosomal RNA is filed under the name uncultured bacterium. Its description in RNAcentral is "partial 16S ribosomal RNA". It matches the Rfam family "Bacterial small subunit ribosomal RNA", at positions 524 to 776 of the family's 1533-position model. The record is from RNAcentral.